AGAGUUGGUGGCUAGGGUUCCGGCGCCGGAAGGCGUGUCUGGUCCGAGAGCUGCCACCGGUCCGGGAGACAUCCGGAUCGGGCGCACGGCGGGAUAAAAGCCCGGGAGAC
This 110-nucleotide small RNA is filed under the name Azorhizobium caulinodans. RNAcentral describes it as "Guanidine-I sequence". It matches the Rfam family "Guanidine-I riboswitch aptamer". Rfam says of the family: This family represents a conserved RNA structure found upstream of the ykkC and yxkD genes in Bacillus subtilis and related genes in other bacteria. The record is from RNAcentral. Lineage: Bacteria; Pseudomonadati; Pseudomonadota; Alphaproteobacteria; Hyphomicrobiales; Xanthobacteraceae. RNAcentral also lists the same sequence under 1 other name.